RNAcentral lists this long non-coding RNA (1117 nucleotides) under Glycine max (soybean). RNAcentral's name for it is "long non-coding RNA (GMAX_LNC002017)". Lineage: Eukaryota; Viridiplantae; Streptophyta; Magnoliopsida; Fabales; Fabaceae. The record is from RNAcentral.
UUCUCUUUUCUCCUCCUUUAACCAUUCAACCUACCUUAUAACUUCACAAUAAUAUAAAAGUUGGGAACAGAUUCUGAAUGACUGAAUCUAAACUGGUUCUGGUUCAGAACCAGAUUUGAGCUGGUUUUGAAGUUAAUACCUGUUCUGAAUAGGUUUAAACUGCUAAAUCAAUCCCAAACCAAUUUAAACCAGUUCCGUUCACAUAAUAAUAUGGAAUGGAUGAAUUGUCAGGCAAACAGCAACCUUAAAUCUCAGAAGGAUUACUCUGAAUAAUCCUCAGAAACACCUAUUCAAUUUUUUACAUUUCAUUUGUUUCUAAACUGGAUUGCAUGUUUGUAUUACAAAUUAUAAGCUGCACAUAAUUUGAAGAUACAUAAACAUAAUUACAAUCCAAAACACAGUACACUUUUGCAUAUGCUCUAGCAACUUUUGUUUAUGAUCUAGCAAUUAAUUCCACUCAACAUUAGGACUGGUGACUCGUGGUAUGAAUGGAUAGACAGGGCCCAUGAGAGAGGUAAUGGAUGCAAGCAGAAUGGAGCAAACCACUACAGUGGUUGAUGAACGAUGACUGUGUUGGGUUCUGGCGCCACAUGAUAACUGUGCUAUGGAUAAAGAUGGAUGAUAACCCAAUAAACAAAGGAAAGCAUACAAAAGAGCAGACUAAUCCGUGAAAAUUUAUUACGAGAAGUAGACUCGGCCACGUCCAUCAUCUUCGGAUGCCUUGCAUGUAAAAGCAUAGUCGGUGUAAAUUCCAACAAGCAUUCUGAGUAAACCUCAGAACAUGGCAAAGAAUACAAAAAAAUGUGCUGAAACACAACCAAACCGUUCAAAAUUAUUUUAUUCUACCCAUCACCAUCAUACCAAACACCUUUCACAACAGAGGCACUCACAAACUUAUUCCCUGAAAGUAUCGUGACAAAGAAUAAAGGAUUCAUUUGCAGCCAAUCUUUUAGCAGAUGUUUGAUACAAACUGGGUGUUGUAAUUCUUAUGAACAGAAGACCAACAGAGAGAUGAAGUGCUAUAGAGAUGAAUUGGAUUCAAUUUCUAGCUCAUUUGUGAUGAUAAAACAAUUGGUUUUAUGUAAUGUAAGUAUGCAACUUAUUUUCACUUAUAAAC